CAAUCCGUGAUAGGUCACUUCAUCUGGAAGGAGAGGUGGCCGAAAAGGGAAUUGUGGGCUUCCACUUUUCUCGCUUCAGGAUGGGACUGCGGCCGAUCAGGCUGUUGGCGGGGUAAUGGCCCACCAAACCUGUAACCGGUACGGGCCUUGAGAGAGGUGGCCCGGAGAUGGACACUGAGACAAGGGUCCAGGUCCUACGGGGCGCAGCAGGCGCGAAACCUUCGCAAUGCGCGAAAGCGUGACGAGGUUAAUCCGAGUGGCUUCCGCUUAGGAAGUCUUUUGCCGACUCUAAAAAGGUCGGAGAAUAAGGGGAGGGCAAGUCUGGUGUCAGCCGCCGCGGUAAUACCAGCUCCUCGAGUGGUCGGGGCGAUUAUUGGGCCUAAAGCAUCCGUAGCCGGUUCCGUAGGUCUCCUGCAAAAUCCAGUCGCUCAACGAUUGGCCCGCAGGAGAUACCGCGGGACUAGGAGGCGGGAGAGGUGGACGGUACUCCACGUGUAGGGGUAAAAUCCUUUGAUCCGUGGAAGACCACCAGUGGCGAAGGCGGUCCACCAGAACGCGCUCGACGGUGAGGGAUGAAAGCUGGGGGAGCGAACCGGAUUAGAUACCCGGGUAGUCCCAGCCGUAAACGAUGCGAGCUAGAUGAUCCAAUCGCAAAUCGCGAUUGGAGUGUCGCAGGGAAGCCGUUAAGCUCGCCGCCUGGGGAGUACGGUCGCA
Molecule: ribosomal RNA, 714 nt
Filed under: uncultured archaeon
Lineage: Archaea
Description: bacterial SSU rRNA
Rfam family: Archaeal small subunit ribosomal RNA
Source: RNAcentral